GGGGGGGGGGGGGGGGGGGGGGGGGGGGGGCGGGUCGGACGGGAAGGCCCUGCUUGCGGGGUACUCGAGUGGCGAACGGGGGAGGAACACGGGGGUGGUCUGCCCUGCACUUCGGGAUAAGCCUGGGACACUGGGUCUAAUACCGGAUAGGCGCCGUUUUUAGUGUUAUGGUUGGAACUUUUUUUCGGGGUAGUAUGAGCUAGCGGCCUAUCCGCUUGUUUGUGGGGUAAUGUCCUACCACGGCUGCGACGGGUAGCCGGCCUGAGAGGGUGGACGGCCACAUUGGGACGGAGAUACGGCACAGACGCCGACGGGAGGCAGCAGGGGGGAAUAUUGCACAAUGGGCGCAAGCCUGAUGAAGAGACGCCGCGUGGGGGAUGACGGCCUUCGGGUUGUAAACUCCUUUCGCUAGGGACGAAGCUUUUUGUGACGGUACCUAGAUAAGAAGCACCGGCUAACUACGUG
This 465-nucleotide ribosomal RNA is filed under the name uncultured bacterium. RNAcentral describes it as "partial 16S ribosomal RNA". It matches the Rfam family "Bacterial small subunit ribosomal RNA", at positions 38 to 507 of the family's 1533-position model. The record is from RNAcentral.